UACGUGGGUGGCAAGCGUUGUCCGGAAUUAUUGGGCGUAAAGCGCGCACAGGCGGUCUCUUAAGUCUGAUGUGAAAGCCCACGGCUUAACCGUGGAGGGUCAUUGGAAACUGGUCGACUUGAGUGCAGAAGAGGGAAGUGGAAUUCCAUGUGUAGCGGUGAAAUGCGUAGAGAUAUGGAGGAACACCAGUGGCGAAGGCGGCUUCCUGGUCUGUAACUGACACUGAGGCGCGAAAGCGUGGGGAGCAAACAGGAUUAGAUA
Molecule: ribosomal RNA, 261 nt
Filed under: uncultured prokaryote
Description: partial 16S ribosomal RNA
Rfam family: Bacterial small subunit ribosomal RNA
Source: RNAcentral